This is a non-coding RNA of Megasphaera sp. DJF_B143, 80 nucleotides long. Lineage: Bacteria; Bacillati; Bacillota; Negativicutes; Veillonellales; Veillonellaceae. The record is from Rfam.
UGUGAAACAUGUGACUGACGGAAAGUGGAGCAUACCACGGGGAGCAUGAUUCGAUAUAGCCGACCGUCUGGGCGAAGGUU